This 440-nucleotide long non-coding RNA is filed under the name Pan troglodytes (chimpanzee). Its description in RNAcentral is "long non-coding RNA NONPTRT001560". Lineage: Eukaryota; Metazoa; Chordata; Mammalia; Primates; Hominidae. The record is from RNAcentral.
GAAAACAGCCUGAGAGGGGGGCCCAGGCUCUCUCAGAAGACGGCCUGAGUCAGGUCCACGCUCCCCCGGGAGACGGCCUGAGCAUGGGCGAGGCUCCUCCGGAAGACCUGAGCAACGGCCCAUGCCCUCCCAGGCGACGGCCUGAGCGGGGUCCAGGCUCCCCCGGAAGACACGGUCCACGCUCUCUGAGAAGAUGGCGUGUGGGUCGGCGCGGAGGAGGAGUGGAGAGAAUGAGAACAAAGCUUCCCAGUGGAAGAGAGAGCAGCUGUCUUCACGGUCAGGCCUGGGAGGGCCCAGCCUCGUGCCUAUGAUGCUUCUUGAGGAAGCUCUCUAUGAGGGGAGACAAAGCAAGGAGGAAGACAGUAAUUCCGGAGAUGGUGUCCCGCUGGAAGAGCAGGACGCCGGGUCUGCAGAGCACGUGCCUCGAUGGGCCUGGCCUG